UACAGAGGUCUCAAGCGUUGUUCGGAUUCAUUGGGCGUAAAGGGUGCGUAGGUGGCGCCGUAAGUCGGGUGUGAAAUUUCGGAGCUUAACUCCGAAACUGCAUUCGAUACUGCGGUGCUUGAGGACUGGAGAGGAGACUGGAAUUCAUGGUGUAGCAGUGAAAUGCGUAGAUAUCGGGAGGAACACCAGUGGCGAAGGCGGCUAUCUGGGCUGAAACUGACGCUGAGGCGCGAAGGCUAGGGGAGCAAACAGG
This 253-nucleotide ribosomal RNA is filed under the name uncultured bacterium. RNAcentral's name for it is "partial 16S ribosomal RNA". It matches the Rfam family "Bacterial small subunit ribosomal RNA", at positions 524 to 776 of the family's 1533-position model. The record is from RNAcentral.